UCCGAUUUGUCACCGGCAGUCUCCCAUGAGUCCCCGACAUGACUCGCUGGCAACAUCGGACAGGGGUUGCGCUCGUUGCGCCACUUAAGGCAACACCUCACGGCACGAGCUGACGACAGCCAUGCAGCACCUGUGCGGGCUCCCGAAGGAGGACCGUGUUUCCACAGGUAUGACCGACAUGUCAAACCCAGGUAAGGUUCUUCGCGUUGCGUCGAAUUAAACCACAUGCUCCGCUGCUUGUGCGGGUCCCCGUCAAUUCCUUUGAGUUUUAGCCUUGCGGCCGUACUCCCCAGGCGGGGCGCUUAAUGCGUUAGCUUCGGCACGGACGGAGUCGACACCGCCCACACCUAGCGCCCAUCGUUUACGGCGUGGACUAC
Molecule: unclassified non-coding RNA, 377 nt
Filed under: uncultured Actinomycetes bacterium
Lineage: Bacteria; Bacillati; Actinomycetota; Actinomycetes
Description: uncultured actinobacterium contains 16S-23S intergenic spacer region
Source: RNAcentral